AUUGAACGCUGGCGGCAUGCUUUACACAUGCAAGUCGAACGGCAGCACGGGGGCAACCCUGGUGGCGAGUGGCGAACGGGUGAGUAACACAUCGGAACGUGCCCAGUUGUGGGGGAUAACCUAUCGAAAGGUAGGCUAAUACCGCAUGAGCUCGGCGAGAGGAAAGCGGGGGACCCAGCGAUGGGCCUCGCGCGACUGGAGCGGCCGAUGUCCGAUUAGCUAGUUGGGGGGUAAAGGCUUACCAAGGCGACGAUCGGUAGCUGGUCUGAGAGGAUGAUCAGCCACACUGGGACUGAGACACGGCCCAGACUCCUACGGGAGGCAGCAGUGGGGAAUUUUGGACAAUGGGGGCAACCCUGAUCCAGCCAUGCCGCGUGAGUGAAGAAGG
This 388-nucleotide ribosomal RNA is filed under the name uncultured bacterium. RNAcentral describes it as "bacterial SSU rRNA". It matches the Rfam family "Bacterial small subunit ribosomal RNA", at positions 29 to 414 of the family's 1533-position model. The record is from RNAcentral.